Molecule: ribosomal RNA, 459 nt
Filed under: uncultured bacterium
Lineage: Bacteria
Description: partial 16S ribosomal RNA
Rfam family: Bacterial small subunit ribosomal RNA
Source: RNAcentral
CCUACGGGAGUCAGCAGUGGGGAAUAUUGGUCAAUGGACGAGAGUCUGAACCAGCCAAGUAGCGUGAAGGAUGACUGCCCUAUGGGUUGUAAACUUCUUUUAUAUGGGAAUAAAAUGUUACACGUGUGGGGUUAUGUGUGUACCAUAUGAAUAAGGAUCGGCUAACUCCGUGCCAGCAGCCGCGGUAAUACUGAGGAUCCGAGGGUUAUCCGGAUUUAUUGGGUUUAAGGGGAGCGUAGGGGGAUUGUUAAGUCAGUUGGGAAAGUUUGUGGCUAAACCGUAAAAUUGCAGUUGAAACUGGCAGUCUUGAGUACAGUAGAGGUGGGCGGAAUUCGUGGUGUAGCGGUGAAAUGCUUAGAUAUCACGAAGAACUCCGAUUGCGAAGGCAGUUCACUGGACUGCAACUGACACUGAGGCUCGAAAGUGUGGGUAUCAAACAGGAUUAGAUCCCCAGGUAGU